RNAcentral lists this long non-coding RNA (530 nucleotides) under Brachypodium distachyon (stiff brome). Its description in RNAcentral is "long non-coding RNA (BDIS_LNC006054)". Lineage: Eukaryota; Viridiplantae; Streptophyta; Magnoliopsida; Poales; Poaceae. The record is from RNAcentral.
GUGAAGUUCACCUACAAGAACACCGGCACCUUCUUCGGCAUCCAUGUCGCCGCCGACCCCUUCACGCUCUCCUACUCCCAGCUCAACCUCGCAUCCGGAGACGUAAGCAAGCCCCUUCAGUCACGAUCUCUCCCCCUUGGAUCUGGCCAACAACUCAACCAAAUAUCGCAUCUUUAUAUGUGCUCUGAUCUGACGCUGGCUCCGGAUGGAUCUUGCUGCAGCUCAAGAAGUUCUACCAGGGGCGGAGCGGCCGGAGGACGGUGAGCGUGUCGGUGACGGGGAACAAGGUGCCGCUGUACGGGAGCGGGCCGACGCUGAUGGCGGCGCCGGCGGGGGCCAAGGGGGCGGCGCCCGGCAAGGUGGCGGCGGUGCCGAUGAUCCUCCGGACGACGGUGAGGUCCCGGGCGUACGUGCUGGGGGCGCUCGUCAAGCCCCGCUUCACCAAGGAGAUCGAGUGCAGGGUCGUCAUGAACCCGGCCAAGCUCAACAAGCCAAUCUCCCUUGCCAAGGCUUGCCAGUACUACUGAUCG